RNAcentral lists this transfer RNA (94 nucleotides) under Rosa chinensis. RNAcentral's name for it is "tRNA RchiOBHm_Chr7g0232651". The stretch from base 2 to 85 matches the Rfam family "tRNA". Rfam says of the family: Transfer RNA (tRNA) molecules are approximately 80 nucleotides in length. Their secondary structure includes four short double-helical elements and three loops (D, anti-codon, and T loops). Lineage: Eukaryota; Viridiplantae; Streptophyta; Magnoliopsida; Rosales; Rosaceae. RNAcentral also lists the same sequence under 1 other name. The record is from RNAcentral.
UGUCAGGAUGGCGGAGUGGUCUAACGCGCCAGACUCAAGUUCUGGUCCUCUAACGAGGGCGUGGGUUCAAAUCCCACUUCUGACAUUUUUACCG